CGCCUAGAGUUCAGCACCCCAGAUGCGGACAGCGACACCGCCCAGUUGAGUCCCAUGACUCGCUGCGGAGAUUUUCACCUGACAAAGGAACCGGCCAAUCUCAAUGCCGCGUGAUCGACCAAUUUACAAUGCCAGAGAUAGAGACUACAUCAUGGAAUUAAAUCUUCUAGUACCUCUUAAAGGAGCUUAAGGGAAAGAAAAAAAAGCUGCAAGCCUAGAAGGUUGUUUCAGUGGAUCCCAGGGACUGAACUCAGAUCACAAGUGGUUGAUUGUACCUGCUGAGUCAUCUCACUGUACCUGCUGAGUCAUCUCAUUGUACCUGCUGAAUCCUCUCACUGCACCUGCUGAGUCAUCUCAC
Peromyscus maniculatus bairdii (prairie deer mouse) is the source of this 358-nucleotide non-coding RNA. Lineage: Eukaryota; Metazoa; Chordata; Mammalia; Rodentia; Cricetidae. The record is from RefSeq and is a predicted model, not a curated record.